This 359-nucleotide ribosomal RNA is filed under the name uncultured Saccamoeba. Its description in RNAcentral is "partial small subunit ribosomal RNA". It matches the Rfam family "Eukaryotic small subunit ribosomal RNA", at positions 585 to 972 of the family's 1831-position model. The record is from RNAcentral. Lineage: Eukaryota; Tubulinea; Elardia; Euamoebida; Hartmannellidae.
CCAGCUCCAAGAGUGUAUAUUAAAGUUGUUGCGGUUAAAAAGCUCGUAGUUGAACUUCUGUAAUUAGAUUGAUAAAUAGGGUUAAAUCUAAAUAGCGAUACUGAAUACAUUUUUUGAUCGUGGCAACACGCAUCAUAGGUUACUUUGAAAAAAUUAGAGUGUUUAAAGCAAAAUUCAUACUUUUGAAUAAUACAGCAUGGGAUAACGAAAGAUGUCAUUAACUAAAUUUGUUGGUUUCUUGGGUAAAUGAAAUGAUUAAAAGGGACAGUUGGGGCCGCUCAUAUUAGGUGGGAAGGGGUGAAAUCCUAUGAUCCAUCUAAGAUGAACUAAUGCGAAAGCAUUCGGCAAGGAUGUUUUCA